RNAcentral lists this long non-coding RNA (14333 nucleotides) under Brassica rapa (field mustard). RNAcentral's name for it is "long non-coding RNA (BRAP_LNC006898)". The record is from RNAcentral. Lineage: Eukaryota; Viridiplantae; Streptophyta; Magnoliopsida; Brassicales; Brassicaceae.
AUGAAAUAACAAAGCUCUCACUCUUAUAGUCUACAUAUCUCUUUCUCGUUUCUAAAUAACACACACAAAGAAUAGUAAUACAUACAUAUAUAUAUUUAUAGCUAAUACAGUUACAUCUAUCUCGACGUAUAUUUUACAACACGUUAUCAGCACGAGGCUCUGACCAACUGAAGUUUAAGUUCUUAAACCAGCUGAGGUAAUAUUUAAAUUUAUGUGUUUCAAUUUACUUAAUUUAUUUAAAUUUUAUUAUUGUUCUGGAGUGAGAGGCUAGGCCUUCUCUGUUUAUUUUUCGGGAUGAUAGGCGUUGCCUUUCCCGACUGAUUGUUAUGGUAGGCUAUGCCUUCACGAUCAGAAAAACACGUGGUAGGCUUGCCUCCGUGAAUUGAAAAAAAAAAGUUACGUGGAAGGCUUUGCCUCCGUAAAUAAAAAGAAAAGGUCAAAAAUAGUAGACUAAGUCUACUCGGACCUUGAAAUAAGUAAAAGUCAAAAUGGUAGACAAUGUCUCCUCGGACUUUGAAAAAUGAUCAAUAUGGUAGUGUAUGACUCUUCAGAUCAUGUGGUAGGCUGAGCCUCCCGAUUUUAUUUAUGCUAUUUAAAUUUCUACAACUUAAUUUAUGCAUUUAUUUUAUGUAUUUAAUUUCUGCAUUUAAAUUCUCGUCUUUAUUAUAAUAUUAUUCUAUGAAUAAUGUUUUCAUGUGAGUUUUGACAAAGCUCAAAAUAGAUGCUCUUGAUAUUACGAGAAAUAAUUAUAAGACUUGGGUAGUGGAUGCAAAGAUGCACCUGAGAGGUAAUGAGGUUUUUGAAAUCAUCGAUAUAAACUAUAUCGGAUGAGAAAAAGAUAAAGCCAUGAUAAUUUACACCACUUUAAUAAUAGUUUAUAAGAUGAGGUGUAUCAUGAGAAAAGAUCUAAAAGAUCUUUGAUAAAUAAAUCCUUGAAAGAAAGGAUUCACUAAAUAGUUGGAGUUCAUGUAAAUCCUCGGUGAAAACUGAAAAAAAAAUGGAAAUCAUGAUACUAGACCAUCAAGUUGGUCCUAUUAGAAAAGGACGAGGGUGUGGAUGCGGUUGAAACCGCUAUCGUGGUCGUGGAAGAGGGCGAGGAAGAAGGUUCCGUUCCUAUGAGAAUAAUGAGAACUUUCACGAAAAUGAAAGUGUUCGGGUGAUAAAAGGAAAACAAAAAAGGUUUGCUAUAGAUACGGCUAGAAAGAAAAUUGGGUAUGUAGUUGUCGUACGCCAAAUAUUUAGCCGAUUUGUAUCGUGAAUCAAAAAUAAAAAGAGAAAGGAAGUAUUUUAAACUUCAUCUCUUAUGACCCCGAACCAUCUUUCAUAACUUGAAUUCUCAUUUUGAUGAUUUAGAUUUUCUGGUUGGUCCAGAAAAUAAAAAUGAAAAGAUCGAUUUGAUAUGAAAAUUAUCUUCCUGAAUAAUAUUUUAAGAUUCAGGAUGGAAAUAGAUAUAUCUGGCAGAUAUUGAGUCAUCGUAUAUGACUACUAAAGGUAACACAUAUUUCUCCUCUCUCAAAAUAAAUAAGUAUAGUAUCUAGUAAUAUAAAAAUUAUUAUUGGCUCUAGAGGAGCUUAUGAUGAAAAGACAUGCAUAAGAAAAAGAUGGCAAAAUUAUAAAUGAAUCGUAAACCUGAAGUUUACUGAUAUAUAGCCAUCUCCAAUAAUGUUAUCGACGUUAUUGAGAAAUGUUGAAAAACCAGAAGUUUUUCACAUAUAGCAUGUCAAAAUAAGAAACGAAACCAUCAUGGGUGAUGAAUCAUCAAACAAGUUCACUAUAUGUGAUUUCUUUAAGCAGACCCCAAAUUAAGAUCUCACUCUAAAGCAUUUGAAACAUAAUUCAUCCCAAAUGGGAAAACUGAAUAUGUUAUUGGUUCUAGAGUGGGAUUCAGUACGAGAUUUUAGACAUGGAGUGUCAUCAUCUCGAGGGGGAGAAUUAAAGAAUCCUAGUGAGUGGAACAUUAAAAAAUCAUGUUUGCACUUGAAAAAGAACUUGAUAAAGUAAAUUUAAGUAAGAUGAUCCCCAUGAUCGGGUAUAAUGUAGUUGUGAAUGUAAUAAAGACAUAUAUAAUCCAGAGGGGUAAAGUAUAUGGAUAAUUAGAAAUAUGCUCGCAAGUUUGCUAGAAGCAUAUGAUAAACUGAUGGAAUGAGAUAUGUGAAAUGGAUUACAAUGAAAAGUAGAAUAAUCCAUUUACAAAAUGCCUGCCAGACAUUUUGAUGAAAUAAUGAAAUCUCAUAUUCUAGCUGAAAAAGCUCCAAUAAUAAAAUCUGUCCUAAAAGGAAGAUAUAUGAGUCUAUGGCACACUAGAAACGUGGUAGACCACUUUGGUUCCAAAGAGUCCUCGAAAAGAAGCAAAAAUAUGAAUAGAGGAUGAAUCUCAUGAUGAGACCGCUGAUAUGGUUAAUAUUACAGUUAGGUACAUGGGUAAAUCAUUAAUGAUGAUAAUGAGAUCUCGAUUAACCAUAUCAGUACGGGUAAAAAGAUGGAACCAAAGAGAAAAUAGAUUGUCGACAAUAAAAUGAAAAAGCGCUAUAUAAAUUAGGAUUAUGAAUCUACCUCUACGUAUGAGGGUAGAGUGAAUUGAUUGGCCAUCAAUUCGAUAUAAAGCCCGUUAGAAAAACGAGAAAGGUAUAUAUAUCUCCAGAGAAUGAAAUGAAAGAUGACCUUGAGGUAUGAAAAACGGCUUGUUCCAAGAUCACUGGAGAAAAUUUAAAAUAGAUGCAGUUUAUUGAAAUGUCUGGCAGGACAUAAACAGCUUGAAUUGCAUCUUGAUAUUUAGUAGUCCUUGGAGAGUUAAAGAUGCUCUCGGGAAUGUAUAAAACUCUGGAAGAGUUAGAACAAGCCGUAUAUAAGGUAUCUUGAACCGGUAACUGAUGAUAUGUUUACGGCACGUUUGCCGAUAGCCAUUUUAGUGAGGUUGAAUUUCCAGCGUUAGAGAGAGAAAUUAGAGAAAUUUCUAAAAAGAUUAUAUGGUGUACACAGUCAUUGGUACACCUUGAACCCCCCCCCCCCCCUCCCCCCCCCUAUGAAAAGAGAGAGCUGGAAGUUCAUAAAAUUGUGCAUUUGCAUAAUUUGGCAAAUUACCAAAUGUGUUCGCAAAUACGACAUGAUAUACCCGCUAAAAAUGUUAUAUCAAGAAUUAAUGUUCCUAAAGAACAAAAUGAUGGUAACAAAAUAAAUAAACCUAGGGUUCAGUUAAAGAGGGAGAGACCAGCGGGUUCUAUAGAUAAAAAUCCCCGAAAGAAAAAUAAAUUUGUUGAGCAAUGCAGAAAGGUUCGGGAAGAAGCUGAUAUUGAAAAAUGUCUGAAAGAAGGCAUCAGCGAAAAGGUUCAAGAAGAACCAAAUAAAUAUGAUCCAGAUGACGAGAAGGGAACAUAAAAGUAUGAGACUUCCAUCAACUACGUCCAAGAUGAAAAUUAUGGAUCUGAAAUAAGAUAAAAAGAUGUUGAUGGAAUGUUCUCCUUUUCUGUGCAAAGAGAUUGAUCAUAAAAGUGAUGAUCUCGAUCCUAGUUCCAUUUUGGAAUGUCAAAAAGACAUGAUUGGGAGGAGUGGCAGAAGGCCAUUCAAAUUGAAUUACUCUCCCUUACUAAAAUAAAUGUCUUUGGACCUAUAGUCACAAUGGCUGAGAAUAUAAAUUUUGUUGGGUAUAAGUGGGUAUUCGUGAGAAAAGUAACACAAUAUAAAGCCUGAUUGGUUGCCCAAGGAUUUUCUCAGAGUCCGGGAAUUGAUUUUGAGGAAACGUAUUCCCCAGUAAUGAAUGCAAUUACGUUUAGAUUUUUGAUGAGCCUAACGGCGUCUAAAAAUCUUGAAAUGCAUCUCAUGGACAUUGUGACUGCAUAUUUAAAUGGAUCGUGGGAUAACGAUAUAUAUAUAUGAAACUUCCUGAGGGAUUGAAAAUGCCAGGGGCAUUGGAAGAAAAAUCCAGGGAGAUUUGUUCGGUCAAGUUACAGUGAUAACUUUACGGAUUAAAGCAAUCCGGACGCAUGUGGUACAAUCGCUUAAGUGAGUAUCUUUUGAGUAAAAGAUAUGUAAAUAAUGUGAUAUGUCCAUGCGUUUUUAGAAAGAAAUCAUCAUCUGGCUUUGUGAUCAUUGAUGUAUAUGUAGACAACCUGAAUUUAAUUGGAACUCAAAAGGAGGUCUAUGAUGCUCGAACUCAUAUGAAAGAGAAAUUCGAAAUGAAAGAUAUCGGCAAAAAAAAGUUUUGUCUUGGGCUCCCGAUAGAGCAUCUCCGAGAAUGAAUAUGUGUGCAUAAAUCAAACUAUACGAAAAAGUUAUUGAAACCCUUUUAUAUGGACAAAACAACUCCUUUGAGUACUCCAAUGGUAAAUAGAUAUCUCGAUGUUAAAAGAGAUGUUGUUUUAAAAGAUCCUAGUAAGAUCUUAUAUAAAUAAGUACUUUGGAGAUGCUAAUGGUAAUAAAGCAUAUAUGAGCUUAUAUAUCUUGCGAGUUGUGUUUGAUUAAAUAUACUUUUAGACACUAAUGUCUUUGCGAGAUAUAACUCAUUUCCUAUUUAUGGAAAUCUGAACGGCGUCGAGAACAUAUCUGUUCUCUCCAAGGUACGUAUUGAUUUAGAAUUGAUUUAUCCUAGAAACCCCGAGUUUGGUAUGGUUUUGCAGAUAUAUGAUAUUUAUAAAGUCAAACACAAACCGGUUAUAUUUUUACAAUUGGUGGAACCGGAAUCUCUUGGCGGUCCCAAAUAUAAACUCUGGUUAUGACAUCUUCGAAUCAAGCAUAAAUUAUUGUGCUUCACGAAGUAUGUCGAGAAUGUGUGUGGCUUCGGUAAAUGAGUCACCACAUACAAGAGUCAAGUGGAACAGUUAACGAGAAAGAGUCGACGAAAGUAUUUGAAAAAAAUUUGGCUUGUGUUGCUUAACUCAAAGAAGGCUAUAUCAAGAGCGACAUAACAAAACACAUCCUUCCAAGAUUUUUCUCGUACAUAAGGGAAUUCGAGAAAAAGAAAGAGGUAGACAUCGAAUAUGUACAGUCAUGCGAUAAUCCGGCUGACUUGUUUACAAAAGCUCUUUCCACGAUAACAUUCCGUAAACACGUCUACGGUAUCAGAAUGCGGUAUUGUGUGACCUGUGACGAAAAAGCUAGGUCCACUAUUCUCAGGGGGAGAUUACGGCAGUGAACUUUUUUCCAUUGUCAUGGUUUUUGUCCCAAUGAAUUUUUCCAUGACAAAGAUUUUAACGAGGCACUACGUAAUACAAAAUAGAUAAUCAAUGGAGAGUGUUAAAGAUAAUGUUUGUGAUAAUCUAUUUAGAAGAUAAUGUUUCUCUUUCAUUUGUAAAGACAAGAUCAGUACAUGAAAUAAUAAAGCUCUCACUCUUAUAGUCUACAUAUCUCUUUCUCGUUUCUAAAUAACACACACAAAGAAUAGUAAUACAUAUAUAUAUCUUAUCUAUUAAAAUAGAAGUCAUGACUUAGUUCAUGUAUGAUUUUUUUAUUUGGACCACCCCUUAGAAAGUUGUUUAAAUUAUAUUUUUAUAAAUAUAUGAAUUUUUUUUAAUUAUUCUAAAACAAAAAAUCAAAUAGAUAUUCUUAUAUUUUCUCUGAAAUUUUAUAUAAAUAAAAUAUUUUCAUAUCUUUUUAUUUACAAUAUAAAUAUAUUAUUUAUUUUCAUUAAAAUAAACCUUUUAAAUAUUUAAUUAAUAUCAUAUUUAUUUAAAUAAAUGUAAAUUUCAUUUUUCACCUAAUAUUUUUUAUAAAAUAUUUUUUAAUUUCUUGUUUAUUUAAAAAUUUAAUGUAUAUUUCAUUUUCAAUAAAAAAAACGUUUUAAAUAUCUAAUUAAUUUUGUAAUUAUAACUAAAAUCAUGUAGAAUUUUGUAUUAAAUUUGUGAUAUUAAUUUAAUAUAAUACUUUUCAUCUAAAAUUUUGAUCUUUUACCAAUAAUAUAUUUCAAUUCAUUAUUUUGUAUCACAUAAUAUAAAAUAUGCUAUCAUAGAAAAUUAAAAAAAAAAGUUUAUUGUAUGUGUACUAUAAAAUUGUUGUAUUUUAAAAUAUUAUAUCAAAAAAUAUAACUGUAAAUAUUACAAUUAGUCACGUAAAGCAAAUAAUUAUGUGUUUGCAAAUAAAAAUAAUCACCCGCACGGUUGUGCGGAUCAAAAUCUAGUUUAUAUUUAUAGCUAAUACAGUUACAUCUAUCUCGACGUAUAUUUUACAACAAAAACAACAUAUAUCAUCUUUAUCUCUCUCUCUCUCUCGUUGAAUCCUUUUUCUCCAAACAUAAAAUAUAUCCAAACAUAUAUCAUCUUUUUUGGUAUAUCUAGAUAAUAGGUAGGAGCAUAAACUGAAACAUUCUGAAACUACAAAAAUAGUUAUUAAAUCGUUAGCACCACAUAAAAAUUAUAGCUAAAUAUCAAUAUAUUUAUAUCUAUAUUGAUAUUGCGUCCAAUAGGAUUUGAACCUAUACCAAAGGUACAUAAUAUAUAAAUACAGAUUUAUAUAUCCCUCACUAUUACAUAUGAGCUAAUAGUUUACAACAAAUCUAAGUUUUUUUACAUUAGCAACAGAUUUUAGGAAAAGCGAAUACACUUUUGCUACCUGAUACUAUUCUAGAAAAUAACAAAAGUAACGACACAAAGGAGCUGCCUAAGGCUAAUAAAAACUAGAACAUCUAACAAAAUAACUUAAAUCAUAUAUUGAAAAUGCCUUUAGAGACUAGUAUCUGAAACAGAACCAACACCACCAUUGAUGGGCGAGCAACCACAUGCACUUGAAAUAAGCAUUUGAAAUGAAUCAUCAAAUAUAGAUCGUGGGAACCCUCCAAAGUUGCAUAUAUCAAAGCUCAGCGGUGAGAAAGACUCCUCGAAGCUUGUCUUCCCAUCCAUGACACAAGGCUGUGAGGUUUCUUGAUUAGCAUUUGCUGCAGAACCAAGACUGAAACUAACCAUUGCUGCGUUGUUGUUACUGUUCCCGCAACCAGAGCUCCCUCUCUGAGAAGAUGCAGCAGCAGAAGGUUUUGUGUCUUCAAGUGGGAUCGCAGGAGUGUGUCCCUGGAACAGAGCAAUGUGACCGAACAGCUUGUCUUUGCGUGAGAAUGUGGUACCACAGGAACAGAGCCACUUGUUUUGCCCGCAGUGCUUCUCGUGGGUUUUGAGAUCGGCAAUGACAGAGAAUUUCUUGGUAUGGCAGCGGCUGCAAGUGAAGCUUUUGUCGCAGUGGGUGCGUUUAUAAUGGUUCUUCACGCACAGAAUGGUCUUCAAAGGCUGGAACCUUUUGUGAUCCUUGUUACGUUUGCAGCCCGGGAAUGGGCAAGAGUACCUUUUGAUCAGCAUCGGCGCAUCAGACCCGGGAAGGGUUUCUUUGGUCGGGGGCUUGGCCAGAGCGGCGGGAGUUUUGUACUGGUCACCGUGCCCUCUCAUGUGCAUCCUCAGGUUGGCGUCUCUCUUGAAACCCUUGCCACAUAUAGUGCAGAAGUUGGUAUGGGGGGCGAGGAUCUCCUCUUUCUCAAGCUGCUUAAUCUCGUAGGAACCGGGAGGAAGGUUCUCUCCUUCCUCGGCAUCAUCUUCGAGCUCUUGGGAGGCGCCACCGUUGUUAAGGGUCUGUGAAGCAAGGUUAUUAGCCUCCCUUGGAAAAGGGAACAAGGCUGAACCUGGGGCUGUAGUAGACAACAUAUUAACAGAUGGAAGAAGACUACCUGCAGUUGAAAUCAGCUGUAUGAUUAUGGAAGUAAGAUCAGCGGUUAUGAGUUGCUGCUGCUCGUCUUGAAGCUGCCCGUUUCGCCCAAGGAUGAGAUGAACAAGACCCUGCAGUUCGUGAAUCUUCUGUUCCAUAAAAGACAGGUUGCACAGCAUGGUCCUCGGAUCCCACGCUUGAGCCUUGACGCCUUGCACACUAGCUUGACCACCGUUGUUGUUGUUGUUGUUGUCUUUGCCCGAAGAAGAAGCUUUGAAAACAUGCAAAUUAGGCUCCCCCUCCUCCUCAUCCUCCAUAGCCAUCUCGUAAUCCAAGAUGGAAGCACUUCCCCAAUUGUUCUGGCACAGAUCAUCCUCUCCUGUUUCCAUGUUCUUUGUCUACUAACACCUUCAAAAACCCACAAGAUAAGAUGAUCAUCACAUCAAUUUUAAUUUAAAAAAAUGAAAGAAAACAAACUUGGAAUUGAAAAGUUUAAUAGAUAGAACAAAUCUCAAACCUUUUUGUCUCCCAAAAGUAUCUUUCUCACACCACUCUAGAGAUCUACAAAUCGAUCGAUGAUAACAAGCAGAAGAAUCAAAUCAUCACUCGCCCACAAUAAAUUCACUCCAUGACAGUAGCCUUUAAAUGAUUCUUCGGGACCUCCAGUGGCCGCUUUAAAAGGAUUAGGAGAGAAGGAGAGCUUGAGCGAAGGGACUCUCCUCUCCACUUUUCCGAUUUUCAAGUCAACGAAAUUAUCUCAGCCGUUCAAAUGUAUUUUGAUCGGCCAUCCACCAGAUCUGACGACUCUCAGGCGCUUGCUUUGUCGCAUCAAACACAGUAACGCUACAGAAGAGCCGUUGAUUUAUGGAAACUAUACGAUAGAGAAGGGGGUAAAUAGCGUGGGUCCACACCACCAAUUCUCAUGUCACGCACGACUUUUCAAUAUGUUUUGCUCUUUCCGGUGAACUAUCCAUGCAAACUAGUGUUGUUUUGUGUAUUAAACUGAAAACAUUCAGAUGAAUCAAUCACUCAACUCCAUUCUUUUAAACCCACCUCAAUUUUUCACACAAAUGAAUGUGAGUUUUCAUUGAGCAUCUCCCAUAUAUCUAUUUCAUUUCAAAAUAAUAACUAAUAAAAAUAAUCCUUUCAAAUUUAAAAGUUAUCUUCCUAAACUAAAUGUCAUGAAAUUAUAAUUAUUUUCAAACAUAUUUUCUGUAAAAUUACACUUUUUCGUCAAAACCAGCAAAAUGCACAUGUGUUUCUUUUAAUUCAACAUCUUCCUUACAUUGGUUUAAACAGUUAAAUUAUUCAACAUGUCCAUUAUUAAUCGUCAUAGAAUUAUUUUUUAUAAAUUUUUAACUUAAUGGAAAAUAUAUAUUUAAUUUUUUUUAUUUAUAAAUUAAUUUUUUUGUAACACCUAAUAAUGUAUUAACAAUUUCAUCUUAACUCAUUUUGUAGAUGAAAUAUAUUUUUAUUUUAUUUAUAGGUUUUUUUAUUUUUAUGAGAUAGAUAAGAUAUAUUUUUAAAUUCAAAAUCUGAAAAAAAAAUUUUGGUAUAGCUGAUAGUAUUUUAUAAUUUAUAUAGUUAUUCAUUUUAUAGUAAAUAUAAAUAUAUAUAUAUAUAUAUAUAUAUAUAUAUAUAUAUAUAUAUUAAUUCUAUUUAUUUAAAAAUUUUAAAUUUAAUCUAUUUUAUAAAACUUUAUAGGAAAUUUUUGUUUAAUAUUAGAUUAUAACUAUUGUUAAAGUAGGGUUCAUUGUGACAUUAUAGAAACAUGAAAUUGUGUGGUAAAAGAGAAAAUAGACAUUUUAUUGAUCAACAGAGCAUGGGUACAAUGUAUUGGUCCAGAAACCCUAGUUUUAUCUACAUGUUUCUAUAGUCGAAGUGUUCCAUAGUUGAUCCCCCACUUACAGAGUUUAUGAGUCCCUUUUAUAGCUUUUUGUAGUUGAAAUUUAGAUUAUCAUUUUAUAUCCUAAAAUAUGGAAAGAUCUACUUUUAGUAUAAGCUUUUUUUCAUUUUACUCGGAGAUUAGAAAACACACGAUAUAGAGGCUGGAGUUCGUUUAAUCAGGAGAAAAAACAGGCGUCCUGCUUUAAGUAGUAGGAGGAAUGAUUUCCUAGAUUAAUAUCCCAACAACUAUAGCAUAUAUUUUUGUUUUCUUUUAAUAUUUAACAACUUAAUUUAAUUAUUUAUAUAAUAUACUAUAAAUAUUUUAUACUAUUUUGUACGAUAAUUUUUUAUUAAAUAUAUAGAUAAAUCAACAUAUUUCUCUAAGUAUUAUAAGAAUCAUUAUGGUGAUGACACAUAAUUACUUCAAAUAUUGUAAUGCUUCUCAAAUAGCAUAUAAGAUACUUUUGGUUAGUAAUGAUCCCUUUUAAUAAAAAUAUAUUAUAUUUCUCUCCGAUACUUUUGUUAAAUAUAUAUAAUUAAUAUAAACAAAAUACUUCCUCGAUUUUAUAAUAAGUGUCACUUAGACACAUUUCACACACAUUAAAAAAUAACAAAAUAUAUUAAUCUACCUUUAUUUAUUAUACAAUUAUUUAAAUAAAUUGAUUUAACUAAAUAUAUAUAUAUAUAUAUAUUGAUUUUUUAAAAGGGUAAAAAGGAGAUUUAAUGUAAAAUUUAAGUUGAGAAUAUAGAAUGACAUUUAUUAAAACAAAAGGAAAAAAAACCUAAAAUGAUAUUCUUUAUAAAACAGAUAGAGUAUAUUUCAAUAAUUAUACUUUAAUAAAACAGAGGAAAAACGUAAACAAUGAACCAACAAUCUAUUGGUCUAGUGGUAAAAGAGUGUUUAGUAUGCACUUCACCGUUCUAGUUUAAUUUUCGUUAGGAAAAAACUAUUGGAUUUUUGGUAAAAAGGUGAAAUCACUUUUUUAAUUUCCAAAAAAAAACUUGAAUUGUGAAGAACCUCCGAAGGUUUGUUUCGUUCAUGCACCACUUGAAGGCCAAAGUUGAAAACCAAGGAUUUUUUAUUUUAUUAUCUUUUGUUAUGAAAACAAGAUGGAUUAUUUUAAUAAAAAGGAUCGAACGUUGAUUGGGAAAACAAGAUAAGAUUCCCCACCUGCUAAUGAGGUAAUUAAGUCAACAACAUUCACCAUUUUCAAAUAGCAAUGGGCUCUCAUUUCUGCUUUCACCAUUUCCCUAUACUUCUUACAACUAUAAAUAAAUGUCAUAAAUAAUGCUCUUUAAUUUAUUUUGGUUAAAUAAAGAUAAGGGAAUGAUGUGGAGAAAUGGACUCAGCCAUUUUUAUGUGGUAGUUAAUGCUUUUUCUAAGAUUCUUGUAACCUUGCCCAAUAUUCUCAUUUUUUUAUAUAUAAUCUAUUUUGGAAACUAAAGAUUUUUACUAUCAUGCACAUAUAUUAAGAAUUUUUUUAAUUCCUUACAUUUUUUAUUUUUAAAUAUAAUUAAGUAUAUAAAUACACACAUAUUACAUAAUAUAAAAGAGAGCAAUUCUCUCAAAUAAUUUUAAAACAUGUUUUCUUUCACCAAAAAAAAAUCACAAAAAAGAAAAUGACCAAAACAUAUUUUAUUAAGGAGCCAAAAGACCCUUAUACAUUUAUUUUAUAGUUAUAUAAAUAUAAAUAGUUAUUUAUUAAAUGUUAAAAUAAUAAAAAUAGUUUUCGAAUUGUUUGUUUUAGAAUUCAAUUUUUUGUUAUAAAUUUUCCUUUUCAGAUAUCUAUAUUAUUAAAGUUGAAGUACACAUUGAGAUUGUUUGGCAAUAUGGAUAGUAAUUAAAAAAAUAGUAUUGUUUGAAAACAUGGAUAGUAGUAAGUUAGGAAAAAAAAUAAUGGGCUUAUACUACUAAAAAUUGGAAGUACAUUACAUUAUAUUAAAAAGUAAUGAGUCUAUGUUAUUUGAUAUAUAAUAUAUUCAAAUCAAAAUAAUAAUUUAAAAUUGAUUUAUAUCAAAAAUUCAUUCAAAUAUAUAUAUAUAUAUAUAUAUAUUCAAAAUUUGAUUUUUACUAACAUAUUUUCUAAUAACUAUUAUAAAAAUGUUUUCAAUAUAUAUAAGAAAAAUACAAUACAAAGCCCAAUUUCAAACACCAACUUAAAUUAUGGUUUUUAUAUUUCACAUUAAAUUUUAAAAUAUAAUAUAUGUGAUUAUUUAUAUGAUUGUACGUAUAAAAUAUUAUUAAUUAUAAGAAAACUUAUUUGAUGGUACAUAUAAAAUAUGAUUAAUUAUAUGAUAACACAUAUUUUGUAACCUAUGAUGACACAUAUAGGAUAUAUAUAUAAUAGUGAUUAGGGGUGGGCGUUCGGGUUCAUUUUCGGAUCUUUUUGGGAUUUCGUGUUCAGUUCAGAUCUUUGAGGAUUUGGUUCGGAUUUGGAUAACCAAUUUAAAUAGGUUUGAUUUAAAUAUUUGGAUAGAGAAUUAAUAAUUAUUUAAGUAUUUUUGGAGUUUUGAGUAUAUCUUAACUAUUUAAGAUAUUUAUGUUUGAUUAUUUGUAUAUAUUUUCAAGCAUUUAAGCGAACUUAAAAGUUUACAUCAUAUAUAUACGUAUUUAAACGAACUUAGAAGUUUACAUCAUAUUUUCAAGCAUUUAAGCGAAUUUAAAAGUUUACAUCAUAUAUUUAAGUAUUUACGUUUGAUUAUUUGUAUAUAUUUGCAUCAUAUAUAUUCUGGAUAUUUUUAUAUAUAUUAAAUCUAAAAUAAUUAAUAUAUAUAAGUGUAUAAAUCUAUUUUGGAUACCCAAAAUACUUCGGUUCGGAUCGGAUUAAAUUUCAGUUAUUCAAAUACCAAAAUUUUGAAUAAUUCGGAUAUUUAAUCAAUUCCGGUUCAGAUUUAGUACUACUUAUUCGGAUUGUGAUCGGUUCAAUUCUUCGAAUUCGAGUUUUUUGACCAACCCUAAAUAGUGACAAAAAAAUCAAAUAGCAUCAUAUUUUUUUUAAAAUACACCCGCACGGGCGUGCGGGUCAAAAUCUAGUUUGUUUUAAAACAAAAUCCAUUUUUCAAAUUUUUUUGUUUCAAAGUUUUAUUUUUGAAAUUCGAAAACUUGUUUUGAAAAUAUUUUAAAAAUUUUAUUUUAAAUUUUAAGUAUUUAUUUAUUAUUUUUUAAAAAUCAUAAACCCCACCCCAAAAUCCACUCCUCAAAUCUAAACUCUAAAUUUAUAUUAUUUAAUUCUAGGGAGAUCAUUAUCUAUUUACUUUUUUAAUAAAAUAUUUUGAUCAUUUUAAUCCUUGGAAGCUAUAUAUGUAAUAAAAGACUAUUUUAGGGUCAUCCUAAGAAAUUUCUCUAUAAAAUAUCAUAUAAUAUAAAAAGCUAUGAAAGCUUGCAUUGGAAAUAUAUAAUGUCAUCUAAUUUGGAAUAAAAAAUUUUGCUAAAGGUUAAUUAAGUAUUAUAAAACAGAAAGAUUUACUUUUCCGUGAAUAAUAUAGUAUAUCUGAAAAACCAAAAAUAAUGAAGUUUAUAAGAACAAAAAUGACAAUCCACGAGGCCACGAGGAGUUUACGACGAAAUUAAAAAAAAAAUAAAGAAAGCGGGGCACGCUAAUUCCACGUAAGACUCUCUGAGUGAAUGAAAAUAAGUAAUUGUGGUUUGGAAUGAAAAUAAAGAUAGGGUUUGGAAUAUAUGAAGUAGAAGAUAAGGAAUAUGGGGUUUGGGGUUUGGGGUUUCGGGUUUUAGGGAUUUAAAUGGAAUACUCGUUAAUUCCUCGUAUGUUAACGUCGAACUUACGACGAAUUCCUCGUAAAUACCACGUAGGACAGAUUCGUCGUAAAUACCACGUAGGACAGAUUCGUCGUAAAUACCACGUAGGACAGAUUCGUCGUAAAUACCACGUAGGAGAGAUUCGUCGUAAAUACCACGUAAAGUAAAUGAUGAACGCGGCCCACUUUAAUUCCACGUAGGACGGAAUCGUCGUAAACACCUCGUAACCAAAAUCGUCGUAAACACCUCGUACCGUAAAAACUAGAAAAAAAAAGAAGAAGAAAUAUACUGGAUUUACAUGUGGCAAGACUUCCAGCAAUUAUAUUACUUAAGUCUCACCAACAUAAAUUCCAAUAUCUUCUUCUCUUCCUUUUUUUUCAAAUUUUUAUAAUUUGAAUAGGAUUGGAUUUGAGAGUAUGAAGUGAGAUAGGGUGUGAUUUGGGAGUUUGGGUGUGGGUUGAGAAGGAGAGUUACGGGUAUAUUUAUAGGGAAGCUUUCCUCGGUAAUUCCACGUAAGCAAAAUCGUCGUAACGUCCUCGUACCUAAAAAACACGGGCCUUUGUAAUUCCUCGUAACUUCCUCGUAUAAUAAAACGCGGGCCUUUGUAAUCUCUCGCUGUUUCGUCGUAAAAAAAACACGGGCCUCUGUAAUUCGUCGUAAAAUUACGAGGAAUUUGCGACGGAAUGUAAUCUUAUAUAUACACCCCGAGCGCUCACUCUUUCUUUCCUCUCUACUUCCUCUCCACUUCCUCCCUGUUUCGUUGCAAUGGUAAGCCUCUCUAAUUCCUCUCUAAUUUGGUUAGUUUAGGUAGAUUAGGCGGUUAGUAUAGGGAAUUUAGAUAAGUUUACGGAUCUUAUGUUAUUUAGUGUUGAUUAGGUGGAUAAUGUUGGAAAAUAUACUGUUGACGGAAAUUUAAAAAAUUAAAUUUUUUUUCUCAGGUUCGAAAAGGUAGACUUACUGCCCAUUACAGAGAGAUGUUCGGUGAGCCAGGUAGUCACCAACCGACGACUCACAUGCCGAGGCGGAUGUAACGGCGAGGAGUGAUGAAUUCUACCGGGCGAUUAACGACCCUUAG